RNAcentral lists this ribosomal RNA (425 nucleotides) under uncultured Stenotrophomonas sp. Its description in RNAcentral is "bacterial SSU rRNA". It matches the Rfam family "Bacterial small subunit ribosomal RNA", at positions 356 to 774 of the family's 1533-position model. The record is from RNAcentral. Lineage: Bacteria; Pseudomonadati; Pseudomonadota; Gammaproteobacteria; Lysobacterales; Lysobacteraceae.
GGGGAUUAUUGGCCAAUGGGCGCAAGCUUGAUCCAGCCAUACCGCGUGGUUGAAGAAGGCCUUCGGGUUGUAAAGCCCUUUUGUGGGGAAGGAAAAGAAGCCGGUUAUUCCCGGGUUUUCCUGACGUUACCCAAGGAAUAAGCACGGCCUACCUUCGUGCCAGCAGCCGCGGUAAUACGAAGGGUGCAAGCGUUACUCGGAAUUACUGGGCGUAAAGCGUCGUAGGUGGUUGUUUAAGUCUGUCGUGAAAGCCCUGGGCUCAACCUGGGAAUGGCGAUGGAAACUGGGCGACUAGAGUGUGGCAGAGGGUAGUGGAAUUCCUGGUGUAGCAGUGAAAUGCGUAGAGAUCAGGAGGAACAUCCGUGGCGAAGGCGACUGCCUGGGCCAACACUGACACUGAGGCACGAAAGCGUGGGGAGCAAACA